GUGUCAGCAGCCGCGGUAAUACGGAGGGUGCGAGCGUUGUCCGGAAUCACUGGGCGUAAAGGGCGCGUAGGCGGCCGUGUAAGUCACUUGUGAAAUCCCGGGGCUCAACUCCGGGGCUGCAGGUGAGACUGCAUGGCUAGAGCACGGUAGAGGCGAGUGGAAUUCCCGGUGUAGCGGUGGAAUGCGUAGAUAUCGGGAAGAACACCGGUGGCGAAGGCGGCUCGCUGGGCCGUUGCUGACGCUGAGGCGCGAAAGCGUGGGGAGCAAACAGGAUUAGAUACCCCAGUAGUCC
RNAcentral lists this ribosomal RNA (292 nucleotides) under uncultured bacterium. Its description in RNAcentral is "partial 16S ribosomal RNA". It matches the Rfam family "Bacterial small subunit ribosomal RNA", at positions 505 to 796 of the family's 1533-position model. The record is from RNAcentral.